This 403-nucleotide ribosomal RNA is filed under the name Verrucomicrobiota bacterium. RNAcentral describes it as "Verrucomicrobia bacterium partial 16S ribosomal RNA". It matches the Rfam family "Bacterial small subunit ribosomal RNA", at positions 355 to 776 of the family's 1533-position model. The record is from RNAcentral. Lineage: Bacteria; Pseudomonadati; Verrucomicrobiota.
UGGGGAAUAUUGCACAAUGGGGGAAACCCUGAUGCAGCGACGCCGCGUGAGCGAAGAAGGCUUUCGAGUCGUAAAGCUCUGUCCUAUGAGAAGAUAAUGACGGUAUCAUAGGAGGAAGCCCUGGCUAAAUACGUGCCAGCAGCCGCGGUAAUACGUAUGGGGCGAGCGUUAUCCGGAAUUAUUGGGCGUAAAGGGUACGUAGGCGGUUUUUUAAGUCAGGUGUCAAAGCGUGGAGCUUAACUCCAUUAAGCACUUGAAACUGAAAGACUUGAGUGAAGGAGAGGAAAGUGGAAUUCCUAGUGUAGCGGUGAAAUGCGUAGAUAUUAGGAGGAAUACCGGUGGCGAAGGCGACUUUCUGGACUUUUACUGACGCUCAGGUACGAAAGCGUGGGGAGCAAACAGG